This 427-nucleotide ribosomal RNA is filed under the name uncultured eukaryote. RNAcentral's name for it is "SSU rRNA". It matches the Rfam family "Eukaryotic small subunit ribosomal RNA", at positions 592 to 1013 of the family's 1831-position model. The record is from RNAcentral.
CAAUAGCGUAUAUUAAAGUUGUUGCAGUUAAAAGCUCGUAGUUGGAUUUCUGGUGGGAGUGAUCGGUCUGCCCGUCAUGGGGGUGUGUACUAGUGUCGUCUCUUGCCAUCCUUGGGGAGAGCUUGCCUGGCAUUAAGUUGUCGGGCAAGGGAUCCCAUCCUUUACUGUGAAAAAUUAGAGUAGUUUAAAGCAGGCUUUAAGGCCGUUGAAUACAUUAGCAUGGAAUAAUAAGAUAGGACUUUGGUGGUCUAUUUUGUUGGUUUGCACACCAAGGUAAUGAUUAAUAGGGACAGUUGGGGGUGAUCCGUAUUUCGUAGUCAGAGGUGAAAUUCUUGGAUUUCCGAAAGACGAACUACUGCGAAAGCAUUUACCAAGGGAUGUUUUCAUUAAUCAAGAACGAAAGUUAGGGGAUCGAAGAUGAUCAGAU